UACGUAGGGUCGCAGCGUUGUCCGGAAUUACUGGGCGUAAAGAGCUCGUAGGUGGUUUGUCGCGUUGUUCGUGAAAACUCACAGCUUAACUGUGGGCGUGCGGGCGAUACGGGCAGACUUGAGUACUGCAGGGGAGACUGGAAUUCCUGGUGUAGCGGUGGAAUGCGCAGAUAUCAGGAGGAACACCGGUGGCGAAGGCGGGUCUCUGGGCAGUAACUGACGCUGAGGAGCGAAAGCGUGGGGAGCGAACAGG
This 253-nucleotide ribosomal RNA is filed under the name uncultured bacterium. RNAcentral's name for it is "partial 16S ribosomal RNA". It matches the Rfam family "Bacterial small subunit ribosomal RNA", at positions 524 to 776 of the family's 1533-position model. The record is from RNAcentral.